AGAGUUUGAUCCUGGCUCAGAACGAACGCUGGCGGCAGGCCUAACACAUGCAAGUCGAACGAUCGUAGCAAUACUUGGAGUGGCAGAGGGGUGAGUAACACGUGGGAACCUUCCCUAUGGCUCGGAAUAGCUCAGGGAAACUUGGGGAAAUACCGGAUAGGCCCUUCAGCGGAAAGAUUUCUCGUUAUUGGAUGACCCCGCGUUGGAUUAGCUAGUUGGUGGGGUAGGACCCUACCGGGGAGACUACCCAUAUGUGGUCUGAGAGGAAGAUCACCCACUGUGGCAGUGAUACGCCCCCCACACUCCUACGAGAGGCAGCAGGGGGGAAUAUUGCACUAUGGGAGAAAGUCUUUUCCCUCCGUGCCGCGUGAGAGAAGAGGGUUUUUUUUUUUGUAACGCUCUUUCGUGCAUCAUAUCAUUACUGCCCG
RNAcentral lists this ribosomal RNA (428 nucleotides) under uncultured bacterium. RNAcentral's name for it is "partial 16S ribosomal RNA". It matches the Rfam family "Bacterial small subunit ribosomal RNA", at positions 8 to 460 of the family's 1533-position model. The record is from RNAcentral.